AUAAUAUAAGAUUUGACCUGCCCACUGAAUAAUUAAAUGGCCGCGGUAUUUUGACCGUGCAAAGGUAGCAUAAUAAUUAGUUUUUUGAUUGAAAGCUGGAAUGAAUGGUUGGACGAGAAAAUUACUGUCUCUUAUUAAUUUUAAAUAAAACUUUAUUUUUAAGUUAAAAAGCUUAAAUUCUGUUGAAAGACGAGAAGACCCUAUAGAGUUUUAUAAUUUAUUAGAAAUUUAGCAUUAAGUAUUUAAUUUUCGUUUUUUUAAAAUUAUUUUAUUGGGGUGAUAAAAAGAUUAAAUUAACUCUUUUUUUAUUUAUACAUUUUUAAAUGAUUGAUUGAUCCAUUUUUUAUGAUUAUAAGAAUAAAUUACCUUAGGGAUAACAGCGUAAUCUUUUUGGAGAGUUCUUAUCGAAACAAGGGAUUGCGACCUCGAUGUUGGAUUAAAAUUAAUUUUUGGUGUAGAAGCUAAAAUAUUGAGUCUGUUCGACUUUUAAAAUUUUACAUGAUCUGAGUUUAAACCGGUGUGAGCCAGGUUGGUUUCUAUCUUCAUUAAGAUAAAAUAUUUUAGUACGAAAGGACCAA
This 578-nucleotide ribosomal RNA is filed under the name Simsonia sp. 2 MF-2023a. RNAcentral describes it as "partial large subunit ribosomal RNA". It matches the Rfam family "Bacterial large subunit ribosomal RNA", at positions 1840 to 2695 of the family's 2925-position model. The record is from RNAcentral. Lineage: Eukaryota; Metazoa; Arthropoda; Insecta; Coleoptera; Elmidae.